AGGACGAACGCUGGCGGCGUGCUUCAUACAUGCAAGUCGAACGGGGUCCAUCCUUCGGGAGAAGACCUAGUGGCGAACGGGUGAGUAACACGUGAGCAACCUGUCCCAAAGUCCGGGAUAAGCCAGGGAAACUUGGUCUAAUACCGGAUGCCUUCAUCGAGUCUCAUGUCUUGAUGAAGAAAGUUUUUCGCUUUGGGAGGGGCUCGCGGACUAUCAGCUUGUUGGUGGGGUAAUGGCCUACCAAGGCUUCGACGGGUAGCUGGU
Molecule: ribosomal RNA, 264 nt
Filed under: uncultured bacterium
Lineage: Bacteria
Description: partial small subunit ribosomal RNA
Rfam family: Bacterial small subunit ribosomal RNA
Source: RNAcentral